Molecule: ribosomal RNA, 460 nt
Filed under: uncultured bacterium
Lineage: Bacteria
Description: partial 16S ribosomal RNA
Rfam family: Bacterial small subunit ribosomal RNA
Source: RNAcentral
CCUACGGGUGGCAGCAGUGAGGAAUAUUGGUCAAUGGACGAGAGUCUGAACCAGCCAAGUAGCGUGAAGGAUGACUGCCCUAUGGGUUGUAAACUUCUUUUAUAUGGGAAUAAAACGUUCCACGUGUGGGAUUUUGUAUGUACCAUAUGAAAAAGGAUCGGCUAACUCCGUGCCAGCAGCCGCGGUAAUACGGAGGAUCCGAGCGUUAUCCGGAUUUAUUGGGUGUAAAGGGCGCGUAGGUGGAUUGUUAAGUCAGUUGUGAAAGUUUGCGGCUCAACCGUAAAAUUGCAGUUGAAACUGGCAGUCUUGAGUACAGGAGAGGUGAGCGGAAUUCGUGGUGUAGCGGUGAAAUGCUUAGAUAUCACGAAGAACUCCGAUGGCGAAGGCAGUUCACUGGACUGCAACUGACGUUGAGGCCCGAAAGCGUGGGGAGCAAACAGGAUUAGAUACCCCUGUAGUC